CCAUAGGUCCUCUCCGGCCUCACAGCCGAUG
RNAcentral lists this small RNA (31 nucleotides) under Bombyx mori (domestic silkworm). RNAcentral's name for it is "ovarian small RNA-13581". Lineage: Eukaryota; Metazoa; Arthropoda; Insecta; Lepidoptera; Bombycidae. The record is from RNAcentral.